Molecule: long non-coding RNA, 261 nt
Filed under: Physcomitrium patens
Lineage: Eukaryota; Viridiplantae; Streptophyta; Bryopsida; Funariales; Funariaceae
Description: long non-coding RNA (PPAT_LNC006040)
Source: RNAcentral
UUUUUAUUUUCGUUCUCCAUAAAAAUAAAAAUAAAAUCAAAUAAAAUCCAAUACCUUCCACCUCAAGCUUUCACGUUGGAUUCACCACUUAUCUUGUAUUAUGUGCUUUCUUGCUCGAGAAUGCACUAGGCAUCUGGCUGUAGGAGGUAGUAUGGAGAUUCGCUAAUAUUCAAGCAAUCUAUCGGUUUUUGACUGUUGAAAUAUAAACGAUUACAAAAAUAUAUCGUAAAUCUAUACGGAUGUCUUUCGACUACUCGCCGA